UACGUAGGUGACCAGCGUUGUCCGGAUUUACUGGGCGUAAAGAGCGCGCAGGCGGUCGUUCAAGUCGAGUGUGAAAGCCCCCGGCUCAACUGGGGAGGGUCACUUGAUACUGAUCGACUCGAAGGCAGGAGAGGGAAGCGGAAUUCCCGGUGUAGUGGUGAAAUGCGUAGAUAUCGGGAGGAACACCAGUGGCGAAGGCGGCUUCCUGGCCUGUUCUUGACGCUGAGGCGCGAAGGUCAGGGGAGCAAACGGG
RNAcentral lists this ribosomal RNA (253 nucleotides) under uncultured bacterium. Its description in RNAcentral is "partial 16S ribosomal RNA". It matches the Rfam family "Bacterial small subunit ribosomal RNA", at positions 524 to 776 of the family's 1533-position model. The record is from RNAcentral.